UGGAUACGUGGAGGUCAUGUGACAUCCCUGACCCAAUCACUGCAGUCAGGACGCAGCCAGUAGAAGGUGUAAGAGCCUUUCCUGUUGGCUGGGGGGGGGGGGGGGGGGGCAAGUCCUGACGCUCACUCUGAUUGGACACACUCAGGUCAUGUGACAUCCCUGAACCAAUCACUGCAGCCAGGGCCCACCUUCGCUUGACCUGAGCAGAUCACAGCGGCCCUGGAACCGAGGGAGCGGGGCUGGGAUCACAGGUUUGGGCUUGGGGGUGGGUUCCAGAUGAAAGCUGGGGUCUCCUGGAAGAAGAGGGGGAUGCUGGACGCCACCCCCGGUGUCCUCCACAGAGUCUAGGUCACUGUCCCGAGGCCCCGGCUGCCUCAGAGACUCUGACGGGAGGAGAGGCGGGGACGUGGCCUGUGGCCUUUCCUCCUGACUUCCGGUCCUGGACCUGCGGCUUCCAGACCCGCCGACCUCAGCCAGAGCAUGAGACCCACGGGAGUGAGGCCACCCGGACAGUCCCAGGCAGAGCUUUGGCCACCCAGCCCCUUGUCCUGUGGAUUCCCACAGCCCAGCGCCUCUCCGGGUCCACCGUGACGUCCUCCUUAAGGUGGUGCUUUCGUAGUUGGAAGCCUGAGGCCUGAGUGUCUCUGCGUGAAGAUGCGGGGUUUGUGCAUUGAUUGAAUAUAAAACAUACUGAGCUCCAGAACGUCCAGAGGCUCAAAGGGAAUUUGAAGUUUUAACCUGCUCUGUGAACUCGGAAGCUGAGAGUCAUCCACAGACGUCCGUAGGUGUCAGACAGCAGCAGGCUGUGGAGGUGUUUCUGCCUGGGCUUCUCCACUCGAUCUGGAAACCAGAGAUGCUGCCUAAUGACAUGCAAAGCUCUGGAAUCAGAAGGAGAGACUGGCGGGACGUCUCCCAGAAGGAAGGCCUGAGAUGGGGUCACAACUGCCCCACGGUCCUGGGUCCAGUGGAGGCGAGCGCACUCCCGUGGUGACAGGUCUGUCCUGUCACCCCCCUCGACCCCACGACCCUGCGGUCCCCCCUCGGUGCUGCUGGGGAGAAUCCACACCAGCAGCAGAGAAGCAGGAACCCAAGGCACAGGCUGAGCCCUGCGGGGCACUGAGACCUCCGCACCUCCAGAAACGUCGGAGGCUGGGCCUUCCCCCAGCUCCCCUUCACCUGCAAGGCGGUCCACCCCUGAGACCCCUGGGGAGCCCUCCCAGACCCUGUCUGCCCCUGAGGCCCCCUUCUCUGGGCCUCACAGUGCAGGGCGAGCCCGGGUCUUGGAGUUGGUCUCACCGCCUGGGACGAUGGGGUUGCUGACUCGAGGCGGCCCGAGGCACUUCUGACUUCCUCGUCGAGCUCCUCUGCACCUCCCUCCCAGUGGCGUGGUGACUGGCCGCAGCAGCCUGCGUCCUGGAGCCCGUGUCGAGCGGAGCACCGCUGUCAGUCCAGGAGGGACGUGAGGCGCGGAAUGUCUCAAGUCUCCGGUCCACCCAGCUGAGAUCCAGACAAGUGAAGGAGAGAGGGAGACGCGGGCUGGAGAUUCGAGAAGGUUAAUUAAAGUCUCAGAUUCAAGGUCAGGGUGACCCGUUGCCUGAGGUCCUGGCUGCCCAAACUUCCAGGGGUAACAGCCCCCAGUCCCAUGGACCAGAACCAUCCCUCAGAACAGGAAUCUACAUUUGACAGCCUUCGCUCAUCUGAUGGAUUCUUCUCCCGAAUUCUCCUCUUAGAAAUGAAAUGGAUUUCCAUGGCAACGUGGGCCUUGAUGGUGCAGGACACUGUUUUCAGUGGUGCCAAAGCAGUGUGGCCGGUGCAUAGACACCCAGGCUGAGCUCAUCCAUGAGGUUCCACACUCAGGAACCUCAGCACCCGUGGCAGUCAAGGGGCCGGCAGGACCGUGGUGCUGUUAUGCUCUGCAGACGAGCAGGAAAGUGUGUGAAACCUGCCGGGAGCACCCGAGAAACAUGGGAGGUUGUUUUUGCUGAGGCGACUUGACAGGAGGAAGUGGAAGAGGAUUGGAGCUACUCUUCCCAGGGUCUGAUGAUUCUCCGCCCACACGGUCAGGAACGCAGGCACGUAUCAACCUCCAGGUGAUGUUCCCUGUUAUCCCUCAGCACUGAUGAGGGAGGAAUGACUUCGUCCGUUCGUUAUUCAAGCGCUGUAAAAGUUUGACCCCGCACCGGAAGAGCAGCAACAAGACACCAGCAGCAAAGACGGUCACGUGGAAGGCUCAUCACGGGUCCAUGUUCUCUGUGCACAUCCACCUCAGCCUCCCUGGAUUCGCCUUUUAAACAACUGUGGACUCCCCUGGGAGGGAUCAUCACGUUGUGGAGAGCUGUGCAGGGCCUGGAGUCAGACAGCCGGGGUGGAGCCCUGUCCACACCCUCACAUCUGUGUGGCCUUAUAAAGUCACUUCAUCUCUCUUAGCUUCAGUCUCCUCAUCUCUGAACUUGGAACCGUGAAAGCACACACCACCCAGAGCAGAUGAGAUGAGUCAGUAGAUGUACGGAGUCAGCACUGAGCCUGGAAGACAGGAAGCACUCAGCCAUGGCCAUUCUGUUCUGAUCACAAGGAUGGAGCACCCACUCCCAGGACGACAUCAUCGUGACAAGACUAAGGUUAAGUGAUCGCUUACAAGGUGCCAGGACAGGUCUGUGAGCCUUACGCGCACUGACUCCUGUAACCCUCGCGGCUCCUUCACGGGGCAGCUCCUGCGCUGACUGUUCUCAGUUACAGGUGGGGAAGUCAGAGGUGCCCAGGCUUCAGUGUGCGGCCUGCCCCCCACCAAGUCCCCGGGGCCAGCACUGCGCCGUCCCUGGGUGGAGCGCGAUGAUGGCAGGGGCCUCUGUAAAAGGGACCCUUGUUCCCUGAGGAGGGGUCACUCAGU
Equus caballus (horse) is the source of this 2887-nucleotide long non-coding RNA. The record is from Ensembl. Lineage: Eukaryota; Metazoa; Chordata; Mammalia; Perissodactyla; Equidae.